AACAAGAUGGCUGAUUUAAGCAAAGGAUUGUAAAUUCUUUAAAGUAAGUGAGAAUCUUACUCUUCGUUA
This 69-nucleotide transfer RNA is filed under the name Benthodytes marianensis. RNAcentral's name for it is "tRNA-Tyr". The stretch from base 4 to 64 matches the Rfam family "tRNA". Rfam says of the family: Transfer RNA (tRNA) molecules are approximately 80 nucleotides in length. Their secondary structure includes four short double-helical elements and three loops (D, anti-codon, and T loops). The record is from RNAcentral. Lineage: Eukaryota; Metazoa; Echinodermata; Holothuroidea; Elasipodida; Psychropotidae.